Molecule: ribosomal RNA, 267 nt
Filed under: uncultured bacterium
Lineage: Bacteria
Description: partial 16S ribosomal RNA
Rfam family: Bacterial small subunit ribosomal RNA
Source: RNAcentral
AGUGGCGAACGGGUGAGUAACACGUGGGGCAACCUGCCCAAAAGAGGGGGAUAACACUUGGAAACAGGUGCUAAUACCGCAUAACCAUAGUUACCGCAUGGUAACUAUGUAAAAGGUGGCUAUGCUACCGCUUUUGGAUGGGCCCGCGGCGCAUUAGCUAGUUGGUGGGGUAAAGGCUUACCAAGGCAAUGAUGCGUAGCCGAACUGAGAGGUUGAUCGGCCACAUUGGGACUGAGACACGGCCCAAACUCCUACGGAAGGCAGCAG